UACGGGGGGGGCAAGCGUUGUUCGGAAUUAUUGGGCGUAAAGAGCUCGUAGGCGGUUUGUCGCGUCUGCCGUGAAAGUCCGGGGCUCAACUCCGGAUCUGCGGUGGGUACGGGCAGACUAGAGUGAUGUAGGGGAGACUGGAAUUCCUGGUGUAGCGGUGAAAUGCGCAGAUAUCAGGAGGAACACCGGUGGCGAAGGCGACAUCCUGGACCGGUAUUGACGCUGAGGCGCGAAAGCCAGGGGAGCAAACGGG
Molecule: ribosomal RNA, 253 nt
Filed under: uncultured bacterium
Lineage: Bacteria
Description: partial 16S ribosomal RNA
Rfam family: Bacterial small subunit ribosomal RNA
Source: RNAcentral